GAUGAAGAACGUAGCGAAAUGCGAUAAGUAAUGUGAAUUGCAGAAUUCAGUGAAUCAUCGAAUCUUUGAACGCACAUUGCGCCCCUUGGUAUUCCGAGGGGCAUGCCUGUUCGAGCGUCAUUAUAACCCCUCAAGCUCAGCUUGGUGUUGGGGCCUGCUGCACUGGCAGCCCUUAAAAUCAGUGGCGGCGCCAUCUGGCUCAAGCGUAGUAAUUCUUCUCGCUAUGGAGUCCUGGUGGAUGCUUGCCAUCAACCCCCAAUUUUUCUAUGGUUGACCUCGGAUCAGGUAGGGAUACCCGCUGAACUUAAGCAUAUCAAUAAGCGGAGGA
RNAcentral lists this unclassified non-coding RNA (328 nucleotides) under soil metagenome. RNAcentral's name for it is "partial contains 5.8S ribosomal RNA, internal transcribed spacer 2, and large subunit ribosomal RNA". The stretch from base 1 to 120 matches the Rfam family "5.8S ribosomal RNA", at positions 35 to 154 of the family's 154-position model. The record is from RNAcentral.